Molecule: unclassified non-coding RNA, 295 nt
Filed under: fungal sp.
Lineage: Eukaryota; Fungi
Description: partial internal transcribed spacer region
Rfam family: Eukaryotic small subunit ribosomal RNA (bases 1-46)
Source: RNAcentral
AAGUCGUAACAAGGUUUCCGUAGGUGAACCUGCGGAAGGAUCAUUAAAGAAUGAAGUUUUUUGGGGUUUUAAAUUCCAAAAAAUAAUUCACCUUUUGUGCAUUGUUAUUAAGAUAUACUUUGGUUAGAGCUUUGAUUUCAUUUAUUGGAAUCAACUUCUUGCUAACUCUAUCCUUUCUGAGGACAGUUGGCUAUGAAGCGGCCUACCAAGGUUUUUUAUCAAACUCUUGUAUUUUUGUCUGACCUAAAAACAAAUAAUUAAAUCAUAACUUUCAACAACGGAUCUCUUGGCUCUC